RNAcentral lists this ribosomal RNA (404 nucleotides) under uncultured bacterium. RNAcentral describes it as "partial 16S ribosomal RNA". It matches the Rfam family "Bacterial small subunit ribosomal RNA", at positions 30 to 526 of the family's 1533-position model. The record is from RNAcentral.
AUUGAACGCUGGCGGCAGGCCUAACACAUGCAAGUCGAGCGAGCGGCGGACGGGUGAGUAAUGCCUGGGAAUUGCCCUGUAGAGGGGUAUCACAGUUGGACACGACCGCUUAUCCCGCAUACGCUUAGAUUGCCCAGGUGGGAUUGGCUAGUUGGUGAGGUAAUGGCUCACCAAGGCGACGAUCCCUAGCUGGUCUGAGAGGAUGACCAGCCACACUGGAACUGAGAUACGGUCCAGACUCCUACGGGAGGCAGAAGUGGGGAAUAUUGCACAAUGGGCGAAACCCUGAUGCAGCCAUGCCGCGUGUGUGAAGAAGGCCGUCGGGUUGUAAAGCACUUUCAGCGAGGAGGCGUUACUCGCAGAAGAAGCACCGGCUAACUCCGUGCCAGCAGCCGCGGUAAUAC